Long non-coding RNA from Oreochromis aureus, 4826 nucleotides. The record is from Ensembl. NCBI's taxonomy places the organism in Eukaryota, Metazoa, Chordata, Actinopteri, Cichliformes, Cichlidae.
GUGGACUGUAUGGAACCGCCUUUCGUAGAGGAAUGGGCUACUCUAAUAACAUUAGACCAACGAUUCUUAUGGAUUGCGUUACAAUUAUACCAAUAUUCACGGCAACAGUGACACAUGCUGCUUGUUUCCCGAGAGGACGAACCUCCACCCAAAGUAUAAACAUGUGUCCUGGCAUUUGAAAGCGACUGCAGAAAGCAGGACUUGCUACUAGAAGGUCUUUAAUAUCGUAAACCAGAAUGUGCUCAAGACACAGUGGCACUCACUCUGUAUAUUCGCAACGAAGAUAUCUGGGCCCUUGCCACAUGAAUAGACUCCUAGUAACGCUGCUGCGUUGUUUUUACGCAUGCGUGGCAAACGCACUUCCCUGUCAACCAUUUCUCAGCCCUCUCGACUGACCCGCCUUCAUUACGUAUGAAUGUUUCGCGGGAACAUUGAAGACGUGAAAUAACUUCAUCUGUUCAUGUGAGAAGGUUCUGGAUAUCACUCCAUCUGAGCCCGUAUUGAAGUAAAGUUUUCGUAUCCUGGUUGAACAAAUUUAACUAUGGGCAAACAAACAGUCUUUUUGGCUUUAAUUUCUUUCGUGUUGUUUCACACCGGAAAAUUUCAAACUCCGAAAUCUACUCAGCUAAUCGAAGUACCAGACGGUGAUAAUCUCACUUUUCAGUGUGAAAUCCCCCCGGGAACCAACUUGAAGGACUGCUCUCUGGUUCUGAAACGAGUCGAUGGAAACACAAGUUACACCACACGUGUCAUCUACACCCGUCGAAAUGGAAAGGAAGAUCUUGGUUCACAGCCGGAGCAAUACAGAAACCGGGUAAUCUUCAUCAGUGAAGACCUGAGGAGAGGAUUCAUGACUGUACAGAUCCGAUCAGUCCAGCAGUCUGAUAGCGGAAAGUUCAAAUGGUUUAUCCCAAAACCACACACCGCCUGUUUUUUUGAUGUUGUUGUGACAGAGAAGCAAAACCGUACCAAUGAGAAUGACACUAGCACAACACCAACGUUAACAGAGGAAAUGCCAGAUACAGAUCCUGCAACAGAGAACCGUCAUCAUCAUUAUUAUGCCCUCAUUCCCAUCUUUGCUGUUUUCAUAGCUACUGUUUUCCUGAUGCUCUUCAAGAACAGGAUUUGUAAGACAUGCCAAAGGAAAACUGAAAAAACAGACUCUGAGCUGGAAACCCAAGGUAACAAAGCAAAGGAAGGAGAUGAAGAGGAACAGCUCAAGAAACCAUCAGCAGGAGGAACUGAUGGACUGAAAGGAUAAUCUCAUCAUGGCCAGAGAAAAGAAGCUUUUUUUGAAUAUCCACCAUUUGGGCCAUUCAUCUGAUCCUUCGGUCAGUUGCUCAGGUGCAACUAAAUAUUUCCUGGAAACGUAGAAAAAAAGUAAGAUUGCAGUUAACAGAUUGUUUUAUGAAUUAUUUGGAAAAUCACUUAAUAGUAGGGCUGCCACGAUUAGUCGACUAGUCACGAUUACGUCGACUAUCAAAAUCAUCGACGACUAAUUUAAUAGUCGACGCCUCGUUUGAAGCUUUGUAAGAUCCCAAAAGACGCAGGAAUAAGUAGUAGGAUUUAAGAGUGUAAUAACGGCCUGAAACAGAAGAUGGCAGCACUGCAUGUACAAGGAUGCCAGCUGCCAUUAAAGAAGCAGUGUCCGGCAUCUUAGCUGUGUCCAAAUUCAGGAACCGCAUCCUCCUGUGCCCGCAUUUGUAGGAUGAUUACGUUACAGCCACACGGCAAAGACUGUCCAAAUUCGAAGACUCCAAAAAAUGCGGCCCAGAAAUGCGUCCUUCAUUUCCCCCUUCAGAAGGAUGUGUCGGGAUGGGUCAUGGCCCAACCUAUCCCAGAAUUCAUAGCGCGGCCCUGCUCAGUUUCCAACAAUGGCAGCAGCUAGUUAGUUUUAAUAUUACUCUUAUUAUUCUUUCUGGGUCACAAAAUAAACGUUUAACAUAUUUUCAGGUGAGAAUGUAGCUGUGUAAACUUCAAAUAUCUGCUCAGUUUAUCAAGACGCCACAUAUUUUCAAAAGCGCUCCGACGUUUUCGGAGACGUCUGUUACCCACCAGCUCGAUAGCUAGCCGGGGUUGAAGGCUCACUAGAGCCGUUGAGAACACCGGACUCCCAGCAAAUCAUUUUCAAACCCACCGCCAUCUUUCGCUACUCAGGUUAAACAUAUAUAAGUCACUUAGAUAACUUAAAAAUGUUAUUGUUUGGCUUUUUUCAGUAUUUUAUUUGUUCCUGAGUAAAUCGGUUUGGCUGAGAUUAAAGUUAUAGUUUUUACACAGCUGAAUAAACGUCAAGCAGACAACUGAUUAUCAGAAGUGUGAGAUGCUCGAGAAUAUACUCCGGUGUCCUGUUAUAUUUUAGACAGCAAAGAGCAGACGGCUGAGUUUAUUUAACUCCACCAAAACAAUCUGCAAAUUUCAUUAAAAUUUAAUAAACUAUCAUCUUGUCUUUAUUUUUAGUUAGCACAUAUCUUAAACACUUAAAGCUGUAAGCUAAUGAUAGUUAUAUAAGCGCAGAUGGAUGCUGGUGCAAUAAGAUGUACGUUUUACGUCCAAUGGAUGCAUGAUCUGAUUAGUCGACUAAUCGCAAAAAUAAUCGGUGACUAGUCGACUAUCAAAAUAAUCGUUUGUGGCAGCCCUACUUAAUAGCCCUUUGUAGCUGUCCAGGGCUGUGUUUUAAAAAAAAAAAAAAAAAAAGCAGGGAUUUAAAAGCCUUCUAAGCCCAUGAAAGUGUCCACGAUCCCAUUAACUAUUUUAAAAUCCUGGAAGAAUUGCAACCAGAUAAGCUAGAGCAAUAAUUUUUUGCAUAUUAAAACAGAGGAGUUGUACUUCCAUAUCAUGUAUUUAACUUGUCCCAGGUUGCAGUUUCCUUCCACUAAUGGCUUUGCAAAAAGUGCAAGAAACAACAAAAAAAUUAUUAUUAUCCAGGCAAACGUUUUGCCGAUGUGAUCAGCUGUUCACAACACUUCCUACGUUUGAAUAAACUUUAUCAUGUUGUCAGCAGGAGCUAUCACAUGUCGCCAUUACCUCAUUUUGUGGGAAAUGUAGUUUUUUUGUUUUGUUUUUUAGAAAGUUCACUCAGCCUAUUGAAAGUCAUCUUUGACUUUCUGUAUAGUUUCUGUGACACUUAGAACUUACAUUGCACAGUUAGAAAUAGUUUAUUUUUGAGGCACAUGCUGUUGCAGAUUGUGCACAAGAUCUAUUUUUGUUUUUGCAGCAGUUUAUAAAAAUUAGUGUUUUUUAGAAAUGAAAUUAUGAGGAUACAAAAUAAAUUUCCUGUGGUUCGGAACUAUUUGCAACUACUUUGCAUUUACAGUUUUCACACCUCUGACACUUGUUUUAUUAAAAAAAUGUGUUAAAAAAAAUAUAAUUUUUAAUUUAUUUGUUGUUUUUUGCACUUUUUAGCAAUUUAUGUCAUUACUAUGGAGUUAAUGCAUACAUAUUAUUAAAAUUUGCGAUAGAGUGAUUGUAAUAUAUGUAUUGUAUGUAUAGCAACUUGAAAUGCUCCAAAUAAUGACACUAUAGCAUAUAAAAAUGUAAAGACUUGUUCUAUGAUGGGUUAAAGGGUUAAGCAAAACUUAUCUUUCACUAAUUUUGUCAGUCUAGCUAGCAAAAAAACCCCUGAUGGCUCAUUUUGCAGUUGCAUUUUAAACCCCUGUCAUGUGUUUGCGUAUUAAAUUAUCAUACCAUAAUUUAUUUAUAUAGCACUUUAAAAACAACACAUGGCCGACCAAAGGCCAGUAAAUAAAAAUGAGUUUUUAAUCUGGAUUCAAAAGCCAGCACUGAUGUAGAUUGCCUAAUGUGAAGAGGAAGCUCGUUCCAAAGCUUUGGGGCCACAAUAGAGAACGCUCGGUCUCCUCUAAGUUUCAUCCGUGAUUUGGGGACUGAGAGCAACACCUGCUUAGCUGACUGGAGUGAAUGAGGGGGAGCAUAGGGCUUCAGCAAAUCAGACAAAUAUUCAGGUACUAGACCAUUUAAGGAUUUAAAAACCAGUAAAAGGAUUUAAAAGUUGAUCCUAAAUUUAAUUGGAAGCCAGUGUACGGAGGCCAGAACCGGAGUAAUAUGCUUAAAUUUUCUUUUGCCAGUUAAAAACCGUGCCGCAGCAUUCUGCACCAGUUCCAGGCAUGACAGAGUGCUCUGGCCAACCCCUAUUAACCCAAGUGUGAGGUUAUGAUCGUCUCAAAGAGUAUACUUAUACACUUAUACUGACAGUCAUUAAGCUUUCACAAGCUCUGAAUCAUGCUCCUGCCUACAUCUCUGAUCUUUUACAAUCGCACGCUCCCUCUCGCAGCCUGAGAUCCUCUAAUCAAAAGCUGUUGGUCGCCCUACAAACACAUUUUAAGACCAGAGGAGUUGUUUUAGAGCAGUGGCCCCCAGGUUGUGGAGUGCUUUGCCUCCAUCAUUACAUUGCCUUGAUUGAAUUUAUUCUUUUAAACAGCAGCUUAAGACUCUUUUAUUUAGAUUGGCUUUUAACUAGAAUUGUGCAGUUUGUUCGAUUGUGCUGUUUUAUGUAUAUCUGUUUUAUAUUAUUGUGAAGCACUUUGUGGUUCUUAUUCUGUUAAGAGUGCUAUAUAAAUAAAGUAUCUAUAAUUAAUUGUGUUGAAUGUUUGCUCAGUUGUGUUGAAAUGUUAUUUUGCUACAAUUGUGCUACACGUGUUUGAAAAACGUAAUUGUUUGUGUGUAUUAUGUAAGACCCUCCCCGUUUUACCUACCUUACCUUCAAGUCAGUCUGACUGGAUUUCAAAGUAAAAGCCCUUGGAAAUGUCUUUGGUGCUCCAAAAUGUCAUCAGGUUUGUUUACUUAUUGUAUUUCUUUUUUUAAUUCUGAAU